UGGGCGUAAGCGCGCGCAGGUGGUUUCUUAAGUCUGAUGUGAAAGCCCACGGCUCUACCGUGGAGGGUCAUUGGAAACUGGGAGACUUGAGUGCCCAAGAGGAAAGUGGAAUUCCAUGUGUAGCGGUGAAAUGCGUAGAGAUAUGGAGGAACACCAGUGGCGAAGGCGACUUUCUGGUCUGUAACUGACACUGAGGCGCGAAAGCGUGGGGAGCAAACAGGAUUAGAUACCCUGGUAGUCCACGCCGUAAACGAUGAGUGCUAAGUGUUAGAGGGUUUCCGCCCUUUAUUGCUGAAGUUAACGCAUUAAGCACUCCGCCUGGGGAGUACGGCCGCAAGGCUGAAACUCAAAGGAAUUGACGGGGGCCCGCACAAGCGGUGGAGCAUGUGGUU
This 392-nucleotide ribosomal RNA is filed under the name Bacillus mycoides. RNAcentral describes it as "bacterial SSU rRNA". It matches the Rfam family "Bacterial small subunit ribosomal RNA", at positions 555 to 946 of the family's 1533-position model. Lineage: Bacteria; Bacillati; Bacillota; Bacilli; Caryophanales; Bacillaceae. The record is from RNAcentral.